CAGAGAUGUUGGAGCUGACAACUGGAGACAAUAUGGCUUGGUGACAACAUCAUAAAAGGAUUGAUGAUAAUAUUGAAGAGGAAGGAGCUAGGAGUGAGUUGCUAAGUGACAGAAAAAGAGCAAGUGGAAGUUUCUUAGAAGUAGAGAAGGAAACAAGAAAGCAGAAAGUGAGAAGGUAGGAGAAUUGAAGCAAAGCAUUGCUAGAGAAGGAUGGUUCAGAGAGAACUGUCUAAUUAUAGUAUGUUUAUAUUGAUGACAAUUUAAGCAUUUGAAGCACAGCCUUAUGACAUUUUAUUUGGAUAAGUUGGGCU
RNAcentral lists this long non-coding RNA (311 nucleotides) under Homo sapiens (human). Its description in RNAcentral is "HSALNT0184637". The record is from RNAcentral. Lineage: Eukaryota; Metazoa; Chordata; Mammalia; Primates; Hominidae.